RNAcentral lists this ribosomal RNA (1301 nucleotides) under metagenome. RNAcentral's name for it is "bacterial LSU rRNA". It matches the Rfam family "Bacterial large subunit ribosomal RNA", at positions 1635 to 2925 of the family's 2925-position model. The record is from RNAcentral.
UACACGACCGUACCGCAAACCGACACUGGUGCGCGAGAUGAGUAUUCUAAGGCGCUUGAGAGAACUCAGGAGAAGGAACUCGGCAAAUUGACACCGUAACUUCGGAAGAAGGUGUGCCUUUAGUAGGUGAAGUCCCUCGCGGAUGGAGCCCAAUGAGGUUGCAAAAAAUCGGUGGCUGCGACUGUUUAUUAAAAACACAGCACUCUGCAAACACGAAAGUGGACGUAUAGGGUGUGACGCCUGCCCGGUGCUGGAAGAUUAAAUGAUGGGGUGCAAGCUCUUGAUUGAAGUCCCAGUAAACGGCGGCCGUAACAAUAACGGUCCUAAGGUAGCGAAAUUCCUUGUCGGGUAAGUUCCGACCUGCACGAAUGGCGUAACGAUGGCCACACUGUCUCCUCCUGAGACUCAGCGAAGUUGAAAUGUUUGUGAUGAUGCAAUCUCCCCGCGGAAAGACGGAAAGACCCCAUGAACCUUUACUGUAGCUUUGUAUUGGACUUUGAACAGAUCUGUGUAGGAUAGGUGGGAGGCUUUGAAGCAGGGUCGCUAGAUCUUGUGGAGCCAACGUUGAAAUACCACCCUGGUGUGUUUGAGGUUCUAACCUAGGCCCGUAAUCCGGGUUGGGGACAGUGCAUGGUAGGCAGUUUGACUGGGGCGGUCUCCUCCCAAAGUGUAACGGAGGAGUUCGAAGGUACGCUAGUUACGGUCGGACAUCGUGACGAUAGUGCAAUGGCAUAAGCGUGCUUAACUGCGAGACUGACAAGUCGAGCAGAUGCGAAAGCAGGACAUAUUGAUCCGGUGGUUCUGUAUGGAAGGGCCAUCGCUCAACGGAUAAAAGGUACUCUGGGGAUAACAGGCUGAUACCGCCCAAGAGUUCAUAUCGACGGCGGUGUUUGGCACCUCGAUGUCGGCUCAUCUCAUCCUGGGGCUGUAGCCGGUCCCAAGGGUAUGGCUGUUCGCCAUUUAAAGAGGUACGUGAGCUGGGUUUAAAACGUCGUGAGACAGUUUGGUCCCUAUCUUCCGUGGGCGCUGCAGAUUUGAGGAAGCCUGCUCCUAGUACGAGAGGACCGGAGUGGACGCACCUCUGGUGUAUCGGUUGUCACGCCAGUGGCAUUGCCGAGUAGCUAUGUGCGGAAGAGAUAACCGCUGAAAGCAUCUAAGCGGGAAACUCGUUUCAAGAUGAGAUCUGCCGGGGCCUUGAGCCCCCUGAAGAGUCGUUCAAGACCAGGACGUUGAUAGGUCGGGUGUGGAAGCGCAGUAAUGCGUUAAGCUAACCGAUACUAAUUGCUCGUGCGGCUUGAUCA